Molecule: ribosomal RNA, 668 nt
Filed under: uncultured Microsporidia
Lineage: Eukaryota; Fungi; Microsporidia
Description: bacterial SSU rRNA
Rfam family: Microsporidia small subunit ribosomal RNA
Source: RNAcentral
UGACGUGGAUGCUAGUUCCUGAGGUUAAGCCAUGCAUGCCCAUGAAGCGACACGGUUGCGGAUUGGCGGACGGCUCAGUAAGACUGCGAUGAUUUGAUCGAUUGCGAGCCGUAACUACGGGAAACUGUAGGUAGGGGGGGUAGGAUACUGCGCGGCGGUAUGUGUGUCGAGUAAGUUGCAGGCCCAUCAACUGGUAGGUAGGGUAAUGGCCUAACUAGGUUGCGACGGGAGACGGGGGAUCGGGGUUUGAUUCCGGAGAGGGAGCCUGAGAGACGGCUACUACGUCCAAGGAUGGCAGCAGGCGCGAAACUUGCCCAAUCCUUUGGUUGGGAGGCAGUUAUGGGACGUGAGGAAUGGCGAUUUGCAAAGAGAAUUGCCGGUAUCGGAGGGCAAGUCGGGUGCCAGCAGCCGCGGUAAUACCUGCUCCGAUAGUGUCUAUGGUGAAUGCUGCAGUUAAAAAGUCCGUAGUCGAGAUGUGCAGUAUGUCUGGGGGGCCUGUGUUUGUUGCGGGCUGUGGACGUAUGUGGGUUUGACGCAGCGGACGGGGCGCACUGGAUAGUUGGGCGAGAGGUGAAAUGUGAGGACCCUGACUGGACGGACGGAGGCGAAGGCGGUGCGCUUGGACGAGUGUGUGGAUCAAGGACGAAGGCUGGAGGAUCGAAAUCGAU